RNAcentral lists this ribosomal RNA (490 nucleotides) under uncultured bacterium. Its description in RNAcentral is "bacterial SSU rRNA". It matches the Rfam family "Bacterial small subunit ribosomal RNA", at positions 215 to 697 of the family's 1533-position model. The record is from RNAcentral.
UCACUUCUGGAUGGACCUGCGGUGCAUUAGCCUGUUGGUGGGGUAAUGGCCUACCAAGGCGAUGAUGCAUAGCCGAGUUGAGAGACUGAUCGGCCACAAUGGGACUGAGACACGGCCCAUACUCCUACGGGAGGCAGCAGUAGGGAAUCUUCCACAAUGGGCGCAAGCCUGAUGGAGCAACACCGCGUGAGUGAAGAAGGGUUUCGGCUCGUAAAGCUCUGUUGUUAAAGAAGAACACGUAUGAGAGUAACUGUUCAUACGUUGACGGUAUUUAACCAGAAAGUCACGGCUAACUACGUGCCAGCAGCCGCGGUAAUACGUAGGUGGCAAGCGUUAUCCGGAUUUAUUGGGCGUAAAGAGAGUGCAGGCGGUUUUCUAAGUCUGAUGUGAAAGCCUUCGGCUUAACCGGAGAAGUGCAUCGGAAACUGGAUAACUUGAGUGCAGAAGAGGGUAGUGGAACUCCAUGUGUAGCGGUGGAAUGCGUAGAUAU